GAGCUGCUGAGGAGUUCCACAAUAGGACGAAAGGGCCGUCCAGUGC
Schistosoma curassoni is the source of this 46-nucleotide non-coding RNA. NCBI's taxonomy places the organism in Eukaryota, Metazoa, Platyhelminthes, Trematoda, Strigeidida, Schistosomatidae. The record is from Rfam.